Molecule: ribosomal RNA, 253 nt
Filed under: uncultured bacterium
Lineage: Bacteria
Description: partial 16S ribosomal RNA
Rfam family: Bacterial small subunit ribosomal RNA
Source: RNAcentral
UACGUAGGGUGCGAGCGUUAAUCGGAAUUACUGGGCGUAAAGCGUGCGCAGGCGGUUUUUCAAGUCUGAUGUGAAAGCCCUGGGCUCAACCUGGGAAUUGCAUUGGAUACUGGCAGGCUAGAGUGCGGUAGAGGGUAGUGGAAUUCCCGGUGUAGCAGUGAAAUGCGUAGAGAUCGGGAGGAACAUCUGUGGCGAAGGCGACUACCUGGACCAGCACUGACACUGAGGCACGAAAGCGUGGGGAGCAAACAGA